RNAcentral lists this ribosomal RNA (1319 nucleotides) under metagenome. Its description in RNAcentral is "SSU rRNA". It matches the Rfam family "Eukaryotic small subunit ribosomal RNA", at positions 1 to 1360 of the family's 1831-position model. The record is from RNAcentral.
UCUGGUUGAUCCUGCCAGUAAUAUAUGCUUGUCUCAAAGAUUAAUCCAUGCAUGUCUAAGUAUAAAUAGUAUACCUUAAAACUGCAAAUGGCUCAUUAAAACAGUUAUAGUUUAUUUGAUAAUCAAACGCUACAUGGAUAACCGUGGUAAUUCUAGAGCUAAUACAUGCUGAUAACCCGGCGUAAGUCGCGGUUGUAUUUAUUAGAUAUUAAACCAAUAUGUUAAUAGCAUUUUGAAGGAAUUAUGGUAACUGAUCGAAUCCUCGCUUGUCGAGGAUAAAUCAUUCAAGUUUCUGCCCUAUCAGCCUUCGAUGGUAGUGUAUUGGACUACCAUGGCGAUACGGGUAACGGAGAAUUAGCUUCGAUUCCGGAGAGGGAGCCUGAGAAACGGCUACCACAUCUAAGGAAGGCAGCAGGAGCGUAAAUUACCCAAUGUCGACUCGAUGAGCGUAGUGACAAUACAUAACAAAGAGGGGAUUUCAUUAUCUUACUCUAUUGCAAUGAGGCAUGUUUAAUAACCUGUUCGAGCAACCAGUGAAGGGCAAGCCUGGUGCCAGCAGCCGCGGUAAUUCCAGCUUCACGAGUGUAUAUUUAAGUUGUUGCAGUUAAAAAGCUCGUAGUUGAACUUCUUUUUGUUCAGAAGGCGUGCAAGCGCAGUCUGGGCGAAAAUCCGCCUGAAAAAUCAUUCGGGUCUUCACUGAUUCAGUGAUGGAUCAGGCAUUUUACUUUGAAAAAAUUAGAGUGUUCAAAGCAGGCUCACGCCUGAAUACAUUAGCAUGGAAUAAUAGAAUAGGACGCUGUUCAAUUUGUUGGUUAUUGAAUUGCGUAAUGAUUAAUAGGGACAGUUGGGGGCAUUUGUAUUUAAUUGUCAGAGGUGAAAUUCUUGGAUUUAUUAAAGACAAACUUAUGCGAAAGCAUUUGCCAAGGAUGUUUUCAUUAAUCAAGAACGAAAGUUAGAGGAUCAAAGACGAUCAGAUACCGUCCUAGUUUUAACUAUAAACUAUGCCGACUCGGUCUCAGUCAAGUCUUCCUAACUUGAUUGGUGCCGUAUGAGAAAUCAAAGUCUUUGGGUUCCGGGGGGAGUAUGGUCGCAAGGUUGAAACUUAAAGGAAUAGACGGAACAUCACUACCAGGUGUGGAUCCUGCGGCUUAAUUUGACGCAACACGGGGAAACUUACCAGCGCAAAACAAGGGUGGGAUUGACAGAUUGAGAGCUCUUUCUUGAUUCUUUGGAUAGUGGUGCAUGGCCGUUCUUAGUUGGUGGAGUGAUUUGUCUGCUUAAUUGCGUUAACGAACGAGACCUCAACCUACUUACUAGAC